Molecule: ribosomal RNA, 253 nt
Filed under: uncultured bacterium
Lineage: Bacteria
Description: partial 16S ribosomal RNA
Rfam family: Bacterial small subunit ribosomal RNA
Source: RNAcentral
UACGGAGGGGGCUAGCGUUGUUCGGAAUUACUGGGCGUAAAGCGCGCGUAGGCGGACCUGCAAGUCGGGGGUGAAAGCCCGAGGCUCAACCUCGGAACUGCCUUCGAUACUGCGGGUCUCGAGUCCGGGAGAGGUGAGUGGAAUUCCUAGUGUAGAGGUGAAAUUCGUAGAUAUUAGGAAGAACACCGGUGGCGAAGGCGGCUCUCUGGGCCUUACCUGACGCUGAGGAGCGAAAGCGUGGGUAGCGAACAGG